AGCAGCCGCGGUAAUUCCAGCUCCAAUAGCGUAUAUUAAAGUUGUUGCAGUUAAAAAGCUCGUAGUUGAAUUUCGGGGUUAGUAGGCUGGUCGUGCCACUGGUAUGUACUGGUCUCACUGAUUCCUCCUUCCUGAUGAGCUGUAAUGCCAUUAAUUUGGUGUUGCAGGGAAUCUGGACUGUUACUUUGAAAAAAUUAGAGUGUUUAAAGCAGGCUAACGCUUGAAUACAUUAGCAUGGAAUAAUGAAAUAGGACGAUCGAACCUAUUUUGUUGGUUUCUAGGAUUGACGUAAUGAUUAAUAGGGAUAGUUGGGGGCAUUAGUAUUCAAUUGUCAGAGGUGAAAUUCUUGGAUUUAUUGAAGACUAACUACUGCGAAAGCAUUUGCCAAGGAUGUUUUCAUUAAUCAAGAACGAAAGUUAGGGGAUCGAAGACGAUCAGAUACCGUCGUAGUCUUAACCAUAAACUAUGCCGACUAGGGAUCGGAUGAUGUUAAUUUUUAAUGACUCAUUC
Molecule: ribosomal RNA, 510 nt
Filed under: uncultured Glomus
Lineage: Eukaryota; Fungi; Glomeromycota; Glomeromycetes; Glomerales; Glomeraceae
Description: SSU rRNA
Rfam family: Eukaryotic small subunit ribosomal RNA
Source: RNAcentral